This 450-nucleotide ribosomal RNA is filed under the name uncultured organism. RNAcentral describes it as "partial 16S ribosomal RNA". It matches the Rfam family "Bacterial small subunit ribosomal RNA", at positions 334 to 800 of the family's 1533-position model. The record is from RNAcentral.
CACUCCUGCGGGAGGCAGCAGUGGGGAAUAUUGGACAAUGGGCGCAAGCCUGAUCCAGCCAUGCCGCGUGAGUGAUGAAGGCCCUAGGGUUGUAAAGCUCUUUCACCGGUGAAGAUAAUGACGGUAACCGGAGAAGAAGCCCCGGCUAACUUCGUGCCAGCAGCCGCGGUAAUACGAAGGGGGCUAGCGUUGUUCGGUUUUACUGGGCGUAAAGCGCACGUAGGCGGACUAUUAAGUCAGGGGUGAAAGCCCGGGGCUCAACCCCGGAACUGCCUUUGAUUCUGGUAGUCUUGAGUUCGAGAGAGGUGAGUGGAAUUCCGAGUGUAGAGGUGAAAUUCGUAGAUAUUCGGAGGAACACCAGUGGCGAAGGCGGCUCACUGGCUCGAUACUGACGCUGAGGUGCGAAAGCGUGGGGAGCAAACAGGAUUAGAAACCCGGGUAGGCCCAUGA